CGCUACAGGCUGAAGCGCUAGAAACCCUAGCCACCCUAUUUCUACCGGCCAUCAGAGGUUUUCGUCUUCGAACCAGGGCAUCUCUCUCGUUGCCCCACGCUGCCGUCGCCAUGGGUCGCAUGCACAGUCGCGGAAAGGGUAUCUCAUCGUCGGCGCUGCCGUACAAGAGAACUCCUCCGAGUUGGCUUAAGAUAUCCGCUGCAGAUGUGGAGGACAACAUCUGCAAGUUUGCGAGAAAGGGGCUGAGUCCGUCGCAGAUUGGUGUCGUUCUUCGUGAUUCUCACGGCAUCGCCCAGGUCAAGAGCAUCACCGGGAGCAAGAUCCUCAGGAUCCUCAAGGCUCAUGGUCUUCAACCGGGUACUCCGGAGGAUCUGUACUGCAUGAUUAAGAAAGCAGUGGCCAUAAGGAAACACUUGGAGAGGAACAGGAAGGACAAAGACUCCAAGUUCAGACUAAUCAUGGUGGAGAGCAGGAUCCACCGCUUGACCCGAUACUACAAGAGGACCAAGAAGGUCGACCCAACCUGGAAAUAUGAUGCCAAGACUGCGAGCACUGUCGUGGCGUAGGAUGCUUUUCUGAACUGCUUGAAGGCUCCAUGAAGAACAGAUGCUUUGUUUUGUUCUCGGGAGAAGAAAUAGCCUUGUGAUGCUCUAAAUUGACUUUUUGAUCGAACUUCACCUUUGUUUUUCUAAGGUGAUGAGUAGUAUUUUAUUGUGCUGAAGAUGAUAAUAGUGGUGAUUAUCUUCGAAAAUGAAUUUGUUGAAGAAAGAUUAUAAGAAAAGGUUGAAGGUGACAUAAA
Molecule: non-coding RNA, 799 nt
Organism: Musa acuminata subsp. malaccensis (wild Malaysian banana)
Lineage: Eukaryota; Viridiplantae; Streptophyta; Magnoliopsida; Zingiberales; Musaceae
Source: RefSeq, a predicted model, not a curated record